RNAcentral lists this ribosomal RNA (229 nucleotides) under uncultured bacterium. RNAcentral's name for it is "partial 16S ribosomal RNA". It matches the Rfam family "Bacterial small subunit ribosomal RNA", at positions 120 to 334 of the family's 1533-position model. The record is from RNAcentral.
AGCAAUCUGUCCCUGUGUGGGGGGCAACCCGGGGAAACUCGGGCUAAUACCGCAUAGGCAGGCACUUCUUCUGAAGAGCCUGGGAAAGAGGCCCUCUUUACAAUGGUCUCAUGCAGGGAGGAGCUCGCGGGCUAUCAGCUAGUUGGUAGUGGUAACGGCCUACCAAGGCGACGACGGCUACGGGGUCUGAGAGGACGACCCCGCACAUUGGAACUGAGACACGGUCCAG